Molecule: long non-coding RNA, 394 nt
Organism: Prunus persica (peach)
Lineage: Eukaryota; Viridiplantae; Streptophyta; Magnoliopsida; Rosales; Rosaceae
Exons: 2
Source: RefSeq, a predicted model, not a curated record
UAGUCGCAAAGCGCUAAUAUCCAAACCCUCUCAAGAUACGAUAACUUCUUUUCUCCGCAGCCUUCUUUGCAGAACUAAGGUUUUGAAAGCGAACUUCGUUUCAUCGUCACCAUGAGAGCCAAGUGGAAGAAGAAGCGCAUGAGGAGGUUGAAGAGGAAGCGCCGAAAGAUGAGACAGAGAUCCAAGUAGUUUUGCCGCCAUCCACCAUCAAUCGACGUCGUCUCUCACCCGAUCCCCAUGUUUUGUUUUCUAAUCAAGUAAUCAGUACCGAUUAGUCAGCUUGUAGUCGUUGUGUACUUUUGUGAUUCUCUCAGUUUGAACAAUUUUUGCUUAAUUUCAGUCAGCUUUCAAACCAUAUUAUGAGCUUUAAAAUAACUGAUUUUCUAUCUGAGCC